This is a long non-coding RNA of Aedes albopictus (Asian tiger mosquito), 572 nucleotides long. RefSeq lists it as uncharacterized. The record is from RefSeq and is a predicted model, not a curated record. NCBI's taxonomy places the organism in Eukaryota, Metazoa, Arthropoda, Insecta, Diptera, Culicidae. The transcript has 2 exons.
CGUUUUCAACUCACUUCUGUACUUUCAAGCUAACUGUCAAAAGUGAGUAACUUUAUUUUAUGAAAGAGAGUAGAUUUCUACUCACACAGGAACAAAAAUAACCUUUACUCACUUUUGAGUAAAGGCUUCAAAAAAGCACUCAUUCAUAACCGUCGAAAACUUGUAAAAAAUCAGUCCGCGGCCACAGAAGUGAUCUUUUGCCGAAAACGAUUGAAAAUACAUAAGAAUAUGAAAACUUUUGGUUUUAUUUCAAGUGGAAUUCUUUUUUAAGACAUCAAGGAUCAUGUUGGAUCAUGCCGGAGGAAAUUUCUUCGUCGAUGUGCAGAAACUGCUCGGUGAUCACUUUUCUCCAAGACGACCCCAAGGACGUGCCCAAAGACGUCCGACUGGAAAACUUGUAUGAACCGCAUUUGGGAAUCCAGAGGUUGGACCUGAACUAAAAGGAGCCACACACCAACCACACACAGAAGUGUUGGAAUUCAACUGUUAGGAAUUUAUAAUUUAAACUAAUAAGUUAAACUCAUUAUGUAUUUUUCUUCUCAAUAAGUGAUAAAUAAAUGAUUUUGUUGCUG